RNAcentral lists this ribosomal RNA (1414 nucleotides) under Streptomyces kaempferi. RNAcentral's name for it is "16S ribosomal RNA". It matches the Rfam family "Bacterial small subunit ribosomal RNA". Lineage: Bacteria; Bacillati; Actinomycetota; Actinomycetes; Kitasatosporales; Streptomycetaceae. The record is from RNAcentral.
GAUUAGUGGCGAACGGGUGAAUAACACGUGGGCAAUCUGCCCUGCACUCUGGGACAAGCCCUGGAAACGGGGUCUAAUACCGGAUAUGACUGUCCAUCGCCUGGUGGAUGGUGUAAAGCUCCGGCGGUGCAGGAUGAGCCCGCGGCCUAUCAGCUUGUUGGUGAGGUAGUGGCUCACCAAGGCGACGACGGGUAGCCGGCCUGAGAGGGCGACCGGCCACACUGGGACUGAGACACGGCCCAGACUCCUACGGGAGGCAGCAGUGGGGAAUAUUGCACAAUGGGCGAAAGCCUGAUGCAGCGACGCCGCGUGAGGGAUGACGGCCUUCGGGUUGUAAACCUCUUUCAGCAGGGAAGAAGCGAAAGUGACGGUACCUGCAGAAGAAGCGCCGGCUAACUACGUGCCAGCAGCCGCGGUAAUACGUAGGGCGCAAGCGUUGUCCGGAAUUAUUGGGCGUAAAGAGCUCGUAGGCGGCUUGUCACGUCGGUUGUGAAAGCCCGGGGCUUAACCCCGGGUCUGCAGUCGAUACGGGCAGGCUAGAGUUCGGUAGGGGAGAUCGGAAUUCCUGGUGUAGCGGUGAAAUGCGCAGAUAUCAGGAGGAACACCGGUGGCGAAGGCGGAUCUCUGGGCCGAUACUGACGCUGAGGAGCGAAAGCGUGGGGAGCGAACAGGAUUAGAUACCCUGGUAGUCCACGCCGUAAACGGUGGGCACUAGGUGUGGGCAACAUUCCACGUUGUCCGUGCCGCAGCUAACGCAUUAAGUGCCCCGCCUGGGGAGUACGGCCGCAAGGCUAAAACUCAAAGGAAUUGACGGGGGCCGCACAAGCGGCGGAGCAUGUGGCUUAAUUCGACGCAACGCGAAGAACCUUACCAAGGCUUGACAUACACCGGAAACGUCUGGAGACAGGCGCCCCCUUGUGGUCGGUGUACAGGUGGUGCAUGGCUGUCGUCAGCUCGUGUCGUGAGAUGUUGGGUUAAGUCCCGCAACGAGCGCAACCCUUGUCCCGUGUUGCCAGCAGGCCCUUGUGGUGCUGGGGACUCACGGGAGACCGCCGGGGUCAACUCGGAGGAAGGUGGGGACGACGUCAAGUCAUCAUGCCCCUUAUGUCUUGGGCUGCACACGUGCUACAAUGGCCGGUACAAUGAGCUGCGAUACCGCGAGGUGGAGCGAAUCUCAAAAAGCCGGUCUCAGUUCGGAUUGGGGUCUGCAACUCGACCCCAUGAAGUCGGAGUCGCUAGUAAUCGCAGAUCAGCAUUGCUGCGGUGAAUACGUUCCCGGGCCUUGUACACACCGCCCGUCACGUCACGAAAGUCGGUAACACCCGAAGCCGGUGGCCAACCCCUUGUGGGAGGGAGCUGUCGAAGGUGGGACUGGCGAUUGGGACGAAGUCGUAACAAGGAACCGUACCGGAAG